UGGGGAAUAUUGCACAAUGGGCGCAAGCCUGAUGCAGCCAUGCCGCGUGUAUGAAGAAGGCCUUCGGGUUGUAAAGUACUUUCAGCGAGGAGGCAGGCGUUGUGGUUAAUAACCGCAACGAUUGCCGUUACUCGCAGAAGAAGCACCGGCUAACCCCGUGCCAGCAGCCGCGGUAAUACGGAGGGUGCAAGCAUUAAUCGGAAUUACUGGGCGUAAAGCGCACGCAGGCGGUCUGUCAAGUCGGAUGUGAAAUCCCCGGGCUCAACCUGGGAACUGCAUCCGAAACUGGCAGGCUAGAGUCUUGUAGAGGGGGGUAGAAUUCCAGGUGUAGCGGUGAAAUGCGUAGAGAUCUGGAGGAAUACCGGUGGCGAAGGCGGCCCCCUGGACAAAGACUGACGCUCAGGUGCGAAAGCGUGGGGAGCAAACA
Molecule: ribosomal RNA, 427 nt
Filed under: uncultured bacterium
Lineage: Bacteria
Description: partial 16S ribosomal RNA
Rfam family: Bacterial small subunit ribosomal RNA
Source: RNAcentral